CCGCGGGGUGACUAGCUACUGAAUCAUAGAAUUUAUUCAAAUUCAUGAUGUCGUAAGGGAAAAUAAUGAUAAUACCUUACUAUGAGUGUCGUCCAAAUCUGGUGCCAGAAGACUCGGUAAGACCAGAGACGCAAACGUUAAUCAUCAUAAACAGGCGUAAAGGGUAUGUAGGCAGCUUUCAGCAUACUAUGAUUACAAAAUAAAGUAGUGUAAUUGAAAGCUAGAAUCAAACAGAGGUUAUGUUGUAUAACGCCUAGAGGAGGGCUGAUAUCCUUAGAUCCUAGGCAGAAUACUCAGGGCGAAGGCCACUCUCCACUAAUGAUUGACGCUGAGAAACGAAGGUUAGGGUAGGAAAUAGGAUUAGAUACCCCGGUACUCCUUUCUGUAAACGAUGAAUGGUAGUCAUUAGUCACAAAAACUAGAGACGAAGUUAACACAAUAACCAUUCCGCCUUGUGAGUACUACUGCAAAGUAGAAAACAAAAAAAUUAGUCGGUCUCGAAGCAAACGGAGUGAAGCAUGUUAUUUAAUUAAUAAAAAUCCCCA
This 545-nucleotide ribosomal RNA is filed under the name Perenniporia luteola. RNAcentral's name for it is "SSU rRNA". It matches the Rfam family "Bacterial small subunit ribosomal RNA", at positions 397 to 973 of the family's 1533-position model. Lineage: Eukaryota; Fungi; Basidiomycota; Agaricomycetes; Polyporales; Polyporaceae. The record is from RNAcentral.